CUACUGUGAACCAGCAACUUAUCACAACUGUGUCGACAAUUUCAUUAAUGCAGAAAGUUUGGGUAUCCAUGCAAAGCUAAGCUCAGACUGUAAAUUUCACAUGUUGCUCAUGGACUGAUGGCAUUUCACUAACUGGUAUUUAGUCUCCGUAAAGAGUCAUCACAUGAAUGGACUGAGAUGUUUUCUUGGAUCCCUCAACUUCGAUCUACUGUAAAUGCAAGGCCAAACGAUUAGCUGAUCAUAUUUACCCUUGCUUGCUAGUUUCAACUUUUCAAGGAUUUUUUUUUUUUUUUUUACUGAAGGUCCAGUUGGUCCGUGGGAUACACUUGCAUCGAAUACGACGCAGCUCUAAUCUGUUGGGAAAGUGGUUUUUCUUUUCUUUUGCUUGUUGUUCCCUGCCAACAACGAUUGGCCAUCCAUGAGUUAGUCAUGUAAAUAUUACAGUUGCUAUGGCUGAA
This is a long non-coding RNA of Daphnia pulicaria, 458 nucleotides long. RefSeq lists it as uncharacterized. Lineage: Eukaryota; Metazoa; Arthropoda; Branchiopoda; Diplostraca; Daphniidae. The record is from RefSeq and is a predicted model, not a curated record. The transcript is spliced from 2 exons.